Small nuclear RNA from Schistocerca serialis cubense, 114 nucleotides. RefSeq annotates it as U5 spliceosomal RNA. Lineage: Eukaryota; Metazoa; Arthropoda; Insecta; Orthoptera; Acrididae. The record is from RefSeq and is a predicted model, not a curated record. The transcript has a single exon.
AAUGUCAGGUUCUCCUUCAAGACGAAUAAAUCGUUCGCCUUUUACUAAAUAUUUUCGUGGAAGGAGACAAAUGUAGAUGUGGUCAUUAACAUUGCUAUAUUUUGAGAGUAGUAA